UCGCCUGUUUUUCAAAAACAUUGCUUCGUGAAAAUCUAAUAUAAAGUACCUCUGCCCAGUGUAAAAAUAAACGGCCGCAUUAUCCUGAGUGCGCUAAGGUAGCACAAUAAUGAGCCUCUUAAUUAGAGGAUAGAAUGAAUGAACCCACAUAGAAGGACCUAUCUACUAAGGUAAAAUAAAAAUUAACAUCGAGGUGAAAAGGCCUCAAUACAAAAACAAGACAACCAGUCCCUAAAAGCUUGCCCGACAAUUUCCAUUAACUAUUCUGCUGGGGAAGCAACCUUUGAAGCAAAGGGAUAAAAAAGACAAUAACUCACCCUAUAAACCUUUCAAAAAUUCCAAAAAGCUACUUUAGGGAUAACAGGCUAAUAGAUUUUCAGAGCCCCUAUCGAAAAAUCUGUUUGGCACCUCGAUGUUGGCUUAGGGACCCUAACAAUAGAAGAAGAUUGUCAAGGAAGUUUGUUCAACUUUUAACCCCCUACAUGAUCUGAGUUCAAACCGGAGA
Molecule: ribosomal RNA, 505 nt
Filed under: Salvatoria quadrioculata
Lineage: Eukaryota; Metazoa; Annelida; Polychaeta; Phyllodocida; Syllidae
Description: partial 16S ribosomal RNA
Rfam family: Bacterial large subunit ribosomal RNA
Source: RNAcentral